CAGACGUUACUUCCAGGAUCUUUUCUUCAGCUGGUGACUGAGAAAUGUGCUUCUGAAGAGUUUGGUCUCACUCCCACGAAGAUGUUUCUCCUCCACUGAUGAAGACUCUCCAGAGUUUCUCUGAGACUGGUGAAGGAGACAUGAGCAGAGUGGG
Non-coding RNA from Tetraodon nigroviridis (spotted green pufferfish), 154 nucleotides. NCBI's taxonomy places the organism in Eukaryota, Metazoa, Chordata, Actinopteri, Tetraodontiformes, Tetraodontidae. The record is from Rfam.